CCUUGACUUGACUCAAAAAGUGUCCACUGUAUUUAGAUUGUGGUAUUUGGCCUGACCUUUAUUCUUGCCUACAUCAUCCCUGACCGGCCAAAGAAACUGGACAAUCAAAUAAAGAGAGAGGCUUUCCUGGCUAAGAAUAUACUACGCUCAGACCAAGGAACUAUCGGUAACUGAUGACGUUACACGGUACAUGAUAUAUAUUAUAUAUUUCUUUUAACCAAAGGAGUUGGUACCGCUGAUCUAUUGGUACCUCUUCCGCAGUCAUCUCACCCGAGGAAUUGGGUGGUUGGAAAAACACCCAUUCGCAGGUAGAGAUGCCUGCGCAGGAGACUAGUUGUAUUAUACCAAUGUAUAUUUUAAAACUUGAUUUGCGCCUUGUUGCAUGGACAGUAAAUCUUCUGUUAAGCGCUCUUCUUCGCCCCCCCCCCCCCCCCUCCUGCCUCAGCCCCCUUGCCAUUUUUUGGUUGGAAAAUCUGCCUUCCCUUAUAAAUGUUCCAAUUAUCGCCCCCGGGCGCUUAAUAGAGGAUUUACAGUAAAUUAAGCAAUGUUCUUACAGCUAAACAAUUUGGGGAUAUAGUAGAUGUUUUAAUUCUAAAAUGUUUUAAUUCUAAAAUGUUUUGACAUAAUAACUAUAUGAUUUUAACUAUACUGUGAUCAUGAUACUACGCCAGAUUAAUAACCUAUACUUAUGGCGUGCAAACAUUUUGAAUACAUAUUCAAAACGCUUUUAAAAUAAUUGUACGCCCAAGAAAUAACCAACCUUUGUGUAUUUCAUGAAGUUAUACUUUAACGGGGUCUUUCAGGUGUCAGCUAAAUAAAAUCCAUGGGUCAGCCAUUCAAAGCACGAUCAGCGCUAACCGUGGGCUAAAUUUAUCCCAUGCCAUUGCCCGCAAAGCAGGCACUCGAGGGUUAGGAUGAAACAUAGAGCCUUCUCGCAGGUUACGAAACCGGAAACCCGGGGAUUUUUUUAGAACCAAGCUGUAUGUAAGUCUAGUAUAGACAAUAAAACACCCUAAUAAUGUUUGCGGGUUUCUAUGCUGUAUUAGGGACAAAAACGAAUUUUGUUUCCCUUUUCAAAAUUUAAAGACAAAUUUUGUUCUGGGCUUUCAAGGCACGAAUUCACACGUAACACGUCGACGUUCCUGCCGUGAGCUAGGGUCUUGUGUUAUCAGGGCUGCAAAUUACUGUCGGACAUCGGACAAUGUCCGACUAAAUUUGGCAAAUGUCCGAGCAAAAGUAAUUUUGAUCGGACAUUGGUCUGAUCACAAAAAAAUUGUCACAUUAUACAUUUUUUUGCUGUCACAAAAUCCGAUUGCAAAUUCACUCAAUUUGCAUUUUGCAAUAAUAUUUAUGAGGCAUUCUAGCAUUUAACUUAACAUUGCAUCGUAAUGGCUAUACAUACUUUUCUCGUG
Non-coding RNA from Paramuricea clavata, 1412 nucleotides. Lineage: Eukaryota; Metazoa; Cnidaria; Anthozoa; Malacalcyonacea; Plexauridae. The record is from the annotation of a GenBank genome assembly.